UACGUAGGGGGCGAGCGUUGUCCGGAAUUAUUGGGCGUAAAGCGCGCGCAGGUGGUUCCUUAAGUCUGAUGUGAAAGCCCACGGCUCAACCGUGGAGGGUCAUUGGAAACUGGGGAACUUGAGUGCAGAAGAGGAAAGUGGAAUUCCAAGUGUAGCGGUGAAAUGCGUAGAGAUUUGGAGGAACACCAGUGGCGAAGGCGACUUUCUGGUCUGUAACUGACACUGAGGCGCGAAAGCGUGGGGAGCAAACAGG
RNAcentral lists this ribosomal RNA (253 nucleotides) under uncultured bacterium. RNAcentral describes it as "partial 16S ribosomal RNA". It matches the Rfam family "Bacterial small subunit ribosomal RNA", at positions 524 to 776 of the family's 1533-position model. The record is from RNAcentral.